CCAGCUUUGACAUGGCACUGCAAUCCGGUGAAAGCCGGUAGCCUUCGAGGGUGUGCCACAGAUGUUGCAUGGCUGUCGUCAGCUCGUGUCGUGAGAUGUUGGGUUAAAUCCCGCAACGAGCGCAACCCCUACGGUCAGUUAUAUUGUGUCUGGCCGGACUGCCCAUUUUGGGAGGAAGACGGGGAUGACGUCAAGUCCGCAUGGCUCUUACGCCUGGGGCGACACACACGCUACAAUGCCACCAGCAGAGCGUUGCUCCCCCGCGAGGGGUGGCCAAUCCCCAAGGGGUGGCCCAGUGCAGAUUGGGGGUUGCAACUCGCCCCCACGAAGGCGGAGUUGCUAGUAACCGCGUAUCAGCCGCGGCGCGGGGAAUACGUACCCGGGCCUUGUACACACCGCCCGUCACGUCAUGGGAGUGGUCAAGGCGUGAAGUCCGUGGGCUGACCGAGUUCGCUCGGGGGCAGCGGCCGAGCGCCGGGGCCGCGACUGGGACG
Molecule: ribosomal RNA, 494 nt
Filed under: uncultured bacterium
Lineage: Bacteria
Description: bacterial SSU rRNA
Rfam family: Bacterial small subunit ribosomal RNA
Source: RNAcentral